RNAcentral lists this transfer RNA (63 nucleotides) under Brachionus plicatilis. RNAcentral describes it as "tRNA-Thr". It matches the Rfam family "tRNA". From Rfam's summary of the family: Transfer RNA (tRNA) molecules are approximately 80 nucleotides in length. Their secondary structure includes four short double-helical elements and three loops (D, anti-codon, and T loops). Further hydrogen bonds mediate the characteristic L-shaped molecular structure. tRNAs have two regions of fundamental functional importance: the anti-codon, which is responsible for specific mRNA codon recognition, and the 3' end, to which the tRNAs corresponding amino acid is attached (by aminoacyl-tRNA synthetases). tRNAs cope with the degeneracy of the genetic code in two manners: having more than one tRNA (with a specific anti-codon) for a particular amino acid; and 'wobble' base-pairing, i.e. permitting non-standard base-pairing at the 3rd anti-codon position. The record is from RNAcentral. Lineage: Eukaryota; Metazoa; Rotifera; Eurotatoria; Ploima; Brachionidae.
GUUAAAUUAGUUAAGGUAUAACAUCUAAUUUGUAAUUAGGAAUCGACUAUCAGUCAUUUAACU